Molecule: ribosomal RNA, 459 nt
Filed under: uncultured bacterium
Lineage: Bacteria
Description: partial 16S ribosomal RNA
Rfam family: Bacterial small subunit ribosomal RNA
Source: RNAcentral
CCUACGGGUGGCAGCAGUGAGGAAUAUUGGUCAAUGGACGAGAGUCUGAACCAGCCAAGUAGCGUGAAGGAUGACUGCCCUAUGGGUUGUAAACUUCUUUUAUAUGGGAAUAAAAUGUUCCACGUGCGGGAUUUUGUAUGUACCAUAUGAAUAAGGAUCGGCUAACUCGGUGCCAGCAGCCGCGGUAAUAGGGAGGAUCCAGCGUUAUCCGGAUUUAUUGGGUUUAAAGGGCGCGUAGGUGGAUUGUUAAGUCAGUUGUGAAAGUUUGCGGCUCAACCGUAAAAUUGCAGUUGAAACUGGCAGUCUUGAGUGCAGUAGAGGUGGGCGGAAUUCGUGGUGUAGCGGUGAAAUGCUUAGAUAUCACGAAGAACACCGGUUGCGAAGGCAGUUCACUGGACUGCAACUGACGCUGAGGCUCGAAAGUGUGGGUAUCAAACAGGAUUAGAUACCCCAGUAGUC